UACGGGGGGAGCAAGCGUUGUUCGGAUUUACUGGGCGUAAAGGGCGCGUAGGCGGCCACCGCAAGUCGACUGUGAAAUCUCCGGGCUUAACCCGGAAAGGUCAGCCGAUACUGCGGGGCUAGAGUGCAGAAGGGGCAACUGGAAUUCUCGGUGUAGCGGUGAAAUGCGUAGAUAUCGAGAGGAACACCUGCGGCGAAGGCGGGUUGCUGGGCUGACACUGACGCUGAGGCGCGAGAGCGUGGGGAGCGAACCGG
RNAcentral lists this ribosomal RNA (254 nucleotides) under uncultured bacterium. RNAcentral describes it as "partial 16S ribosomal RNA". It matches the Rfam family "Bacterial small subunit ribosomal RNA", at positions 524 to 776 of the family's 1533-position model. The record is from RNAcentral.